RNAcentral lists this long non-coding RNA (6174 nucleotides) under Aquilegia coerulea. Its description in RNAcentral is "long non-coding RNA (ACOE_LNC000661)". Lineage: Eukaryota; Viridiplantae; Streptophyta; Magnoliopsida; Ranunculales; Ranunculaceae. The record is from RNAcentral.
UCCAAGAUCAAAUUAUUUUUGAUACAAGUCUUGAUUGUUCUGUAAUUCCACCACUCAAUAGGAUACAUAAUUAGAAAACUUGUUGUGGGGACUAAACAGACUGCAGAGAAGAUAGCGAGUCUAAUAUCUUACUGUGAUCAUAUAAUUACAGUAUAAACGAAGCAGGACAAAACAAAAUCCUUCUUUAGGAAUGCUGAGUGCUGACACUAGAAGAAAACAAGCAACAAAAAAAUGACAGCGGAAAAAACUUGCUUGUAGAGACUUGGUUAGCACAAAACAACAUUCAUCAUGUUGCACCAAAUACAGAAUAUAUGCCUGAGGACAAUCCAUACUGAGUAUCAGUAUAAACAAUGUCAAUCAACACUGACCAAAAUACAGUAGGAGACAGCAGUCUACACAUUCCCUAGGCUGCCACAGCAGAAGCAUCAGUAUCUUCAGACUUCUGGCUAGCAAAGAGAUUGAGCACAUCAGCAUGGCUAGGGAUGUUAUUUGGACACUCAGAAAAGAAAUUCUGUGCUUUGCUGUGCCUUCCUGCCUUGAAAAAUGCUUCAAACAUAGGGAUGAACACAGGCGUAGAUAAGGUACUUUCACUUUCAUUGGUGACUGCUCUCAGAAAAAGCAUAGCAUCAGUGCCAGUCCCAGUCCCAGACUUGGAAAUAUAGUCAACAAAAGGAUUCAGAUGAGGUGGAUAACCGUGACCCUUCAUCAAUCUGAGCAGGCACAAAGCUUCAUCUAAACUUUGCUGCCCCAGCAACUUUUCUAUUAACUUAUUGUAUGUUGUCUGCAGAGCUCGUAAUUCUGUUCCAUCUACCAUCUCCGAGAGAAACUUGUAUGCAUCUUCAGCUCUUUUCUUCCUGCAAAAUCCUUUUAUUAAUACUUCAAAAGCAUCACCAGAAUCUGCAACCCCAACCUUUGUUACCAUAUAUCGAAAAGAAGACGAUGCCUCAUCCAGUUCACGAGCUAAUCAAUGGUGAGAUUUCAUUCAUUAAGUCAAAACAAAAAUGGAACCAAUAGGAAAAUAAGCAAUUAUAGAACAGACAUUAGGGAUAUAACUUGAUUAUAUGGCUACGUUUGACACUCAUCACCAUCCAUCAUCCUUCACCGUAAACAAAAAUUUAGUUAACAGAGAAUCGUGACAUCCUUAAAGUAGAAGACAGAAAUCUACAAAUGCCUAAGCUGUCACGGCAUCUUCAGGUUUCGGCUCAUGAAAUAGUUUGAUUACAUCAGCAUGGCUACGGAUGUAACUUGGACACUCUGAGAAGCAAUUCUGUGCCUCACUGUGCCUUCCAGCCUUGAAAAAUGCCUCAAACAUAAGGAUGAAUACAGAUGUAGAUGGGAUGUUUUUAUCAGUCACUGCUUCCAGAAAACUGCACAGCCUCAGCCCCAGUCCCAGACCUGGAAAUAUAGUCAACAAAUGGAGCCAAAUGAGCUGGGUAAUCGUGACCCUUCAUCAAGCUGAGAAGGCCCAGAGCUUCAUUUAGACUUCCCCCAGCCAAUAGCUUUUCUAUUAACUUUUUGUAUGUUGUAUACAGUAUGCAAUGGUCACAACUUUUUUCCAUCAACCAUCUCCAAGAGAAAUUUGCAAGCAUAUACUUCUUUUUUCUUCUGGCAGAACCCAUUUAUCAAUACUUUAAAAGCAUGACCUGCAUCUGCAACCCCAAACUUUUCUACCAUAGUUCGGAAAUACGAAGACGCCCUUAUCAGAUCACGAGCUACACAAUGCCCAUGCACUAAAGAACUCCAUGUCUUGAAAUCCGGGGUACACCCAGAUGCUUCCAUGUCCUCAAUCAUCUUGAAAUCUGAACACUACUCAGCCUGAAGAUUACUUCAUCGUAAGUUUCCUUCGUCGGUACAAAUCCUCCCUUUUCCAUUGCUUUAAGGAUCUUAACACAUUCCUGUGAUCUUCCAACACUGACCAAUGCCCUGACGACUGAUUCAAAAAUGGGAAAUGUCAAGCUAUUACCACCUUUGGUAAAAAUCUUUACAACUCUAGAAAACAGAUCCAUAUCUAAGUCCUUACUCGCAACAAUUUUUGGCAGCAGAGAAGCAGAGUCCAGAACUGAAGGCUUAUUCGCACUAUCCAUCGUGAACUCAUACAAAUGCACGACGUCCUUAAUCAUCUUCUUAUUACGAAACCACCUGAUAACCAAAUCAUAAACCUUCAUAUCCACGUUUUUGGAGACACUUGUUAGUUGUUGCUCAUCUAUUUUGUGGGCUUUGGUCUGUUGCUGUUAUUUGGCCCAUGGGCCACUUCCGUUUGUUUGAAAGAUCUUCACGAUCAUUUUAGCGGCCCGUGGUCCAUCUAUCCUUGUGAUCAACGGGCGUGGGUGCCUACUGCCUAGCCUCCCGGCAUAGCACUGGUUCCAGCUAGCGCACACACAAAGAAAAGAAAAAGUAAACUGUUAAAAAUAAAAUACAGUGUACUUUACACAAAUUCUAACUUUAUGCAAUGUUAAAAAAAAUCUGUUAUUAUUAUGCUGACGGUCUGCUUAAGUGUCCUCCUGUUUUUUUCCUUACGUGACUUUAAAUAAUUAUAAUUUGUUGAUGUGUUAAAAAUAAAACCAAAGUUCUUAUCACAGCAUGUUUUAAGAUCUUGUUAGAACUAAGGCACAACCACCACCAACAACACUUAAUCACAAAAACCUACACCAACUACCAUGAAACAUUUACUUCGACCAAACAAACUCCCCAACAACCAUCAUGACUCAAUAUCACUAACCAAAUUCAACAACAAUUAACUCCUAAUCUAAACUCUAAAUAUUUCUAGAAAAUAUAGUAAAAUAGACAUAAACAAACAAUUUUGUUGAAUCGAAAAAAAAAAAAAAUCUAAGGAUUAGAAUUACAAAGAAAAAUCUUGUUAAAAGUAAGUGAAUUUCUUCACUUUUGGGGUUAUGAUAUAUAGCAAGAACGAGAUGAGUUGAUACUUGAAGAAGAUGAACAUAUUUGAGGAAUUAAGAGAGAAAAAUAGAGUUAGGGAUUUGAAAGUUAAGGUUUGAAAUUGGGGAUUUUUUUGAAUUCCACGUGAGAAUCACAUGUAUUUCUUGUUGUGUAGGAAAUUCGUUUUUAAUUUUUUUUAAUAUGUCAGGUAGGAAAAAAUGGACACAUAAGCAGUUAGCAUAAAACUGACAGAUUGUAUAACAUGAGAACGAAAUGAAAGUACAAGUAUCUUUAGAACAAACUUUUUCUACAUUGCAUGAAGUGAGAAUUUGUGUAAACUACAUUGCAUUUUUUUUUUAUCAAUUUUACCAAAAAAAAUUGUAAUGGGGAAGGGGAAGGCUUUCCCCUUUUGUGAAGCUCAUUUUAGCUUUAAUAGAAUUUUAGCAUUUUUAUCGGGAAAAAAAAUCCAGUCAAGUCAUUUUUAUAUUUUGACAAUUUAGUAUAGUAUGGUAUUUUUACAAAAAAAAAGAUAAAGUCAAAAAGCAGCGUCACUUUUGUUUAUCUUAGAGCAAUGCCCAUGCAAAGGUUUUAGCUAGAUUUUAAGAAGUUUUAGCAAUUGUGUCCAUCCAAUGCAUCAAUAUAUACAUGUGCACUUCGAUUUAAAACUGACAAGUUGUACUUAUUGUUAGAAUGAACCGUCAGAAACUAUGGCGGAAAGGUUUACCCGCCAAAAACUAUGGUAGAGAGAGUUAACCGCUGGAACACUAGAAGUAUUGAACCCCAAAAACAAGCAAUACUCGCCCAAACUAUAAUGUUGUUGUUGCAAUAUUGUAGCAGUUGAUGAAAAUGACAUGAGAAAUCAUAACCAGGAGUUUCACAAAUAGAUUAAGGUAGAGUGCGUUGACUGUUUGAACUGUUUUGAGACCCAGAAAGCUCGUGAAAGACAUAAUAGGAGCUUUCGUGUAAAUAUUUAGAAAUUUUAGGGUUUUUUCUCUUUGGCCAUCACAGUCAUAGUCCAAGGAAAGUUUUGCCAAAUUAUACGUUAGAAUUCACCAUUGUGUAUGUGUUUUUCCCGUUCGUUUGUAAUCGUCUUCCUUAUGUUUGUUUGGGUGCAGGGUGUUGUUGAUGAUAUCCCUCCUCUGUUUUACUGCAUUUACUGCCAGAAUGUGAAAUGUUUUACUGACACACCAGCCUUGUAUUCUCACACAUCUGAUGUUAAUGGCGUGCAGACUAAAAACUAUAUGUGCUCUGAUUGUAAGAAUUACUUCAAGAAUCGUGAUAAUCGAGAACAACACAUUCUAAGUUGCAGCGAUCUUCUAUAAGCUUCUUGUGAUUUUCUUUUUUCGAUUGUUGACCUUUAUUGUUUUUUUGCUUUGGUACUAUUUCUCUGAUCUAGUACUCAUCAUUUUUUUAUUUAUUUUUUUGCAGUGAUCUAAUACUCAUCAUUUUUUUUUUUUUUGCAGUGAUUAUCUUCGGAAUAUCUGAGGUGUUUUCUCGAAGAUUUCAGUGGAGGUCAUGAGAGAUGCUGUUUUGUGACACUGAAAAUGUAUUGUUAGACUUUCAAGUAGGGUUUUCCAAACAUCUUUUACUACUCGUUCAAAUAUCUUGUAAAAGUGUUUUUUUUUAAAACAGUUGUGCUGGAAUUUUAGCUCAGAACUGGUGGUACAUAUUUGGUAUUUGUAGGAUAACUUCUGUUGCAGUAAAACAUUUGUCAUAUAGAACUAUAGAAGAUAUACUUUCUAGCUCUUUCUAGUACUCUUUUCCCAUACCUUCAGAAAGUGGUUUUCAUAAGUUGUGGGAUUUUAAGCCCAAAUAUUGGUUUUGCGUAUUUGUAGUAUACUUGUUUUUAAUGAUAUGUUAUUUGUGUUGUAUUGCUUUUGAGUGGUGAUUUGCAUUGCUUUCUAUGUAGUGUAGCAUUGCUUGUUUUCUAUCUGUAUUCUGUGGUAUGUUGGAAACACAAUAAUGGUUUAUUUAGGCUUUGCUUUAAUUCACUUUACUAUAAAAUAUGCCCUCCUUUAGGUCUGUUUGAUUAGUGUGAUGUACAGUUUAUUGAUUUACUGGAAAAAAAUGUUUGCAAAUAUUUUGGCAGUGAAAAUUGUACCAUUGAUGGUAUUAGACGAUUAGUGUAAAUACAUCCAAAGGCUUAAAGAGUGACUUCGCGUAAUAAACGAUUAGACGUCACUCUUGAUAGCCAGUUGUCAAAUGCUUGGACUGCUUCCCUUCUUCCCACUCACUCAAGUGUUGUCACUUUUAAUAAAAGUAUCUUACAUUUGUAGAGUAGCAAACACUCGAGCACAAGUUUGAAAGAAACUUGUUUGCUUAUUGGAUGUAGAAUAUAUGAGUUUUUUUUCUUAAUUUUCUUUUGAUGAUUAGAGCUACUAUAAUGUGUUUCAUGUUAACAAAGUAGUAACAACAUCGUUCUCAUUCUAGUCUGUUCUACACUUCUACUUCCUUGUCAUUGACUAGUAGUUUUGAAAAAGAUGAUUUGUUGGACAUUUAAUAGUAAUGUGACUAUCUUCAAUUUUCAUAUUCAACUAGUUAGCUAUAUAUCCAUUAUCCAAAGUGAGGUAUUGAUCAGAACAGGUUCAUUUAAUAUUCUGGAUGUUGAUAUGAUAGCAUAAGAUUGAAUUAUUGGAUGGAAGUAAGGAGGAAUGAGAUUAUAGAAGCUUAUGAAUUUGGUUGGCUGUAGAGGAGUUCAUAAGUUCAUACAUCAUAGACAGUACAGUGCUUUCACUACCCAAUAGGCUACAUAAUUAGAAAACUUGUUGUGGGGACUAAACAGACUGCAGAGAAGAUAGCUAGUCUAAUAUCUUACCGUGAUCAUAUAAUUACAGUAUAAAAGCAGCAGGACAAAACAAAAUCCUUCUUUAGGAAUGCUGAGUGCUGACACUAGAAGAAAACAAGCAACACAACAAAGACAGCGGAAAAAACUUGCUUGUAGAGUUGUAGAGACUUGGUUAGCACAAAACAAUAUUCAUCAUGCUGCACCAAAUACAAAAUAUAGAAUAUAUGCCUGAGGACAACCCAUACUGAGUAUCAGUAAAUACAAUGUCAAUCUAACACUAACCAAAAUUCAGUAGGAGACAGCAGUCUGCACAUUCCCUAGGUUGCCACAACAGAAGCAUCAGUAUCUUCAGACUUCUGGCUGGCAAAGAGAUUGAGCACAUCGGCAUGGCUACGGAUGUUAUUUGGACACUCAGAAAAGAAAUUCUUUGCUUCGCUGUGCCUUCCUGCCUUGAAAAAUGCUUCAAACAUAAGGAUGAACACGGGCGUAGAUAAGGUACUUUCACUUUCAUU